RNAcentral lists this ribosomal RNA (443 nucleotides) under uncultured bacterium. Its description in RNAcentral is "partial 16S ribosomal RNA". It matches the Rfam family "Bacterial small subunit ribosomal RNA", at positions 338 to 795 of the family's 1533-position model. The record is from RNAcentral.
CCUACGGGAGGCAGCAGUGGGGCAUAUUGGGCAAUGGAGGCAACUCUGACCCAGCAACGCCGCGUGAAUGAUGAAGGUCUUCGGAUUGUAAAGCUCUUUUCUAAGGGAAGAAGAAAGUGACGGUACCUUAGUAAUAAGCCUCGGCUAACUACGAGCCAGCAGUCGCGGUAAUACGACGGUGGCAAGCGUUCGCCGGAAUGACUGGGCGUAAAGGGUGCGUAGGUGGUUUGACAAGUUGGUAGCGUAACUCCGGAGCUCAACUUCGGAACUACUACGGAGACUGUCGGACUCGAGUGCAGGAGAGGCAAGUGGAAGUUGUAGUGUAGAGGUGGAAUGCGUAGAUAUUAGGAAGAACACCGAGGGCGAAGGCGAGUUGCUGGACUGUAACUGACACUGAGGCACGAAAGCGUGGGGAGCAAACAGGAUUAGAUACCCGGGUAGUC